RNAcentral lists this ribosomal RNA (423 nucleotides) under uncultured bacterium. RNAcentral's name for it is "bacterial SSU rRNA". It matches the Rfam family "Bacterial small subunit ribosomal RNA", at positions 355 to 775 of the family's 1533-position model. The record is from RNAcentral.
UAAGGAAUAUUGGUCAAUGGACGAAAGUCUGAACCAGCCAUGCCGCGUGAAGGAUUAAGGCCCUCUGGGUUGUAAACUUCUUUUAUCUGGGACGAAACACUUAUAUUCUUAUAAGCUUGACGGUACCAGAGGAAUAAGCACCGGCUAACUCCGUGCCAGCAGCCGCGGUAAUACGGAGGGUGCAAGCGUUAUCCGGAUUCACUGGGUUUAAAGGGUGCGUAGGUGGGUCUGUAAGUCCGUGGUGAAAUCUCCGAGCUUAACUCGGAAACUGCCAUGGAUACUAUAGGUCUUGAAUUUUCUGGAGGUAAGCGGAAUAUGUCAUGUAGCGGUGAAAUGCUUAGAUAUGACAUAGAACACCAAUUGCGAAGGCAGCUUACUACAGGAACAUUGACACUGAGGCACGAAAGCGUGGGGAUCAAACAG